AAAACAUGUCCUUUUGAUUAUGAUUUAAGGUCUGGCCUGCUCAAUGAGGUUUUAAAUAGCCGCGAUAACUUGAUCGUGCGAAGGUAGCAUAAUCAUUAGUUUUUUAAUUGAAAACUGGAAUGAAGGGUUGGACGAGAUUGGGGCUGUCUCAAGUUUAUUAAAUUGGAAUUUUAUUUCUAGGUUAAAAAGCCUAGAUUUCUCUUAAAGACGAGAAGACCCUAUAGAGUUUUAUAUUUUUAUUUAAUAAGUGUUUUUGGUAUUAAGGUUGCUUUUUAGUUUAAAAGUAUUUAGUUGGGGUGAUUGAAUAAAUGAUUAAACUUCUUUUUUUUAUUACACUAAUUUGUGAUUUGAUGAUCCACUAUUUGUGAUUAAAAGAUUAAAUUACCUUAGGGAUAACAGCGUAAUUCUUUUUGAGAGUUCUUAUCGAAAAUAGAGUUUGCGACCUCGAUGUUGGAUUAAAGUUAAUUUUUGGCGUAGAAGUUAGAAUAUUUGGUCUGUUCGACCAUUAAAACUUUACAUGA
Molecule: ribosomal RNA, 521 nt
Filed under: Chrysochroa fulgidissima
Lineage: Eukaryota; Metazoa; Arthropoda; Insecta; Coleoptera; Buprestidae
Description: partial 16S ribosomal RNA
Rfam family: Bacterial large subunit ribosomal RNA
Source: RNAcentral